Xiphophorus hellerii (green swordtail) is the source of this 635-nucleotide long non-coding RNA. RefSeq lists it as uncharacterized. The record is from RefSeq and is a predicted model, not a curated record. The transcript has 2 exons. Lineage: Eukaryota; Metazoa; Chordata; Actinopteri; Cyprinodontiformes; Poeciliidae.
AGAUCUACGUCCCUCCAGGAGAAAGGCUGCUACAACCACCAACCGUUGUCCCAGUGACCUCUGCUGCGCAGUGCCCUCACUGUGUCUGAAAGAUCCAGUGGUGUGAGGCCGCUGUAGUUCUUCUGAUGAAGCACUAUGCAGCCAGUCUUCUGCAGCAGAGCCCAACACACUUCUACUCCACCCCUCUCUGCAGCAACAUGGAGCGCUGUCGCUCCCUGCUGGUCAACUGCAUUCACAACACACCGCUGGACAAGAAAACCAAUAACCCCACCCCCAAAAUUUAUGCCACUGCUUGAAAAUCUGACAUCGUUAAAUUUUUAUGCUAUAUAUUUAUAGUUUAAUGUUUGUUUUAAUUACGUUAAAUUUGCAGCAUCACAGGCUACAGCACAAACAUCAGAGCAAAAAGUUAAAACUGUGUAAAUUUAGAAUAUUUCAUACCUGGUCUUUGAGCAAAUAGCGAAUCAUGUCAAUGUUGCCGGUGGAUGCAGCAAGAUGCAGAGGCGUCACCUUGUACAUAUCCGUGUCAGAGAAUCGGAACACUCCUGUCUCCCACAGAUAGUGCACAGCGACUCUUAGAGAGGUGAGCAACAGUUAGAGCAUACAAAAAAUAAAAAUAAAAACUAUUUGUUCUGAAA